Molecule: ribosomal RNA, 455 nt
Filed under: uncultured bacterium
Lineage: Bacteria
Description: bacterial SSU rRNA
Rfam family: Bacterial small subunit ribosomal RNA
Source: RNAcentral
ACUCCUACGGGAGGCAGCAGUGGGGAAUAUUGCACAAUGGGCGCAAGCCUGAUGCAGCCAUGCCGCGUGUGUGAAGAAGGCCUUCGGGUUGUAAAGCACUUUCAGUUGUGAGAGGUGGUGUCGUUAAUAGCGGCAUCAUUUGACGUUAGCAACAGAAGAAGCACCGGCUAACUCCGUGCCAGCAGCCGCGGUAAUACGGAGGGUGCGAGCGUUAAUCGGAAUUACUGGGCGUAAAGCGCAUGCAGGUGGUUUGUUAAGUCAGAUGUGAAAGCCCGGGGCUCAACCUCGGAAUUGCAUUUGAAACUGGCAGACUAGAGUACUGUAGAGGGGGGUAGAAUUUCAGGUGUAGCGGUGAAAUGCGUAGAGAUCUGAAGGAAUACCGGUGGCGAAGGCGGCCCCCUGGACAGAUACUGACACUCAGAUGCGAAAGCGUGGGGAGCAAACAGGAUUAGAUA